Bacillus rossius redtenbacheri is the source of this 4024-nucleotide RNA transcript. It is a transcript of the gene named PX domain-containing protein kinase-like protein, with no coding region annotated. The transcript has 11 exons. NCBI's taxonomy places the organism in Eukaryota, Metazoa, Arthropoda, Insecta, Phasmatodea, Bacillidae. The record is from RefSeq and is a predicted model, not a curated record.
UGGCAGACGGUGUUGUGGUGACAGAGACUUGGAAAUCUCGGUACUGAAUUUAUGUGCAAAGAAAUGAUUUCUAAUGACGUCCUCGAAAGAAAAUCAAUGUAACACAUGGCUGUUUUUGAAAAGAAGGUGCAUAGAAAAGUUUAUUUGGAUGACACUCAAGUAUUGAAAUGUAUGUUUGAGAAUGCGCAGAAUAUCCAGGGGCACACGGAGUACGUGAUUCGUGUGCAGCGGGGGCCAGGGCCAGAGAAGUGCUGGCGAGUGUGCAAGCGCUACAAUGACUUUGUGUGCCUCCACAACGCUCUGCAGGCAUCGGGCCUCGCCCUGCCGCUGCCUCCCAAGAGGCUCAUCGGCAACAUGGACCGCGAGUUCGUAGCCGAGAGGAGGAUCUCGCUCGAGAACUACAUAAACUGCAUUCUGAUGAAUCCCAUUUUGGCUUCGUCUCUUCCUGUCAAGAAGUUUCUUGACCCAGACAAUUACUCAACUCCAUUCCAUGAACUUGCCUUGCAGCACGUGUCAAUGGCGCUGCGCAGCGAAAUGAACUACGAGGUGGUACGGCCAGUGCCCGAUAUGGGCUGGCGGCUGCGCAAGCACCACUUUCUGGUGCGUGACCGCAGUCGACCGGCGCAAGAGCUCUUGCUGUCGUGGGUGGAGCACGGUCCUGACAAGUACCUGGACGACAAGGACCUGCAGGCUGCCUUCAAGGCCCUCCGUCACCUGCAGCACCCGUUCAUCCAGACCAUAGAGUUGCUGAGCUGCAACGAGGUGGGGGGCUUUGUGGCGCGCAGGCUGAGUGUCGCAGGCAGCGUGCGGGACGUGCUGUGCUGCACCACGCCUAAGCUGCCCUUCCUGAAGAAGUACGGCAACCCACGCCAGCACCGGCCCUUCCCGGCGCCGGAGCUGGCUCUGCUGGGCUCCCAGAUCCUUCAGGCCCUCGGGUUCCUUCACGACAAGGGCCUGCCCUUCGGACACCUGCACACGGGCAACAUCGCAGUGGAAAGCGGCCGUGUCAAGCUGCUUGACGUGGAGAACGGGGUCCUGGGGCUGCCCUCGUACUACCGCCCCUACUUUGUGCAGCACAAGAAGAUACAGACCUUGGAGGCCAUCGAUGUCUACAGCUUCGGACACGUGCUGUUCGAGAUGGCGUUUGGCCGGCCGCUGCACGAGUCCGUAUGUGACGAUAUUCCCGCCGGCUGUCCCUCCAUGCUCGACUCGGUGCUGGAAGCAGUGUUGUCAAGCAAGGCGUGUCGCAGUGGCAUGCCGACCGUGGCAGCGCUCCUCGCACACCCGUUCUUCAGGAGCCAGGACACAGCGCCGGAGCGGCCUCAGUUCAAGCUGGCGCCUCUGACGCGGGACGCACUGCGCGGUGCCUGGCAGCGCACUGAGGCGCGUCUGCAUGAGGAGCAGCGAAUGGUGCGGCAGCAGAAGAGGCUGGUGAAGGUGCAGCAGCUGCUCAGCUCCGAGGAUGAGAUGAAGAAGCGCAAGCAGAAGCUGCGGCAGGAGCAGAAGGAGAGACAUCUGCAACUGCAGCAGCAAGACGCGCAGAUGAACGGCACAUCCCCUGAGCGUUCGGACAGCCCCAACAGCACCAGUACGGCCACCUCCGCUGGCACAGUCACGCCACCUGCAGGUUUGGCCAGCGUGCUGCUGCCCCCCUCCCCCCCACCACCCCCACCGCCCGCGCCCGUGAGCGGCUCCAGUCCGGGCAGAGACGCUCUCCUGGGCUCCAUUUGCAGCUUCGACAAGGCCUCCCUCCGCCCGACUGCCGGUCACUGACGCCCUUCCUCCCCCUCCUCACUGCCUCCAAGGCAGGCCGUGCUGUUGUGACUCAGCUCUGCUCAAAGUUGCUUUGAAGCAUCACAGCGUUAGUAGCGGCAUUGUGGCAGGAGUGUCAAUGGGUAGUGAACAAUGCCCAAACAGGGGAGUGAACAAUGCAUGAACAAGGAAAUGAAGAAUGCCCAAAUUGGGAAGUGAACAAUGUCCAAGUUGGGAAGUGAACAAUAGUAAAGUUAACAAUGCCCAAAUAGGAAAGUGAACAAUGCCCAAACAGGAAAGUGAACAAUGCAUGAACAGGGAAAACAGAAUGCUCCUAUUGAACUGUGCACUUAGGCUUAGGUGGUCAUAGCAAGGAUGGGCUGCUUCUGGAGUGUCGUCAAGUAGUUCCUGUUGUGGUAUGCUGGAUGAAAGAUGAAAGAGAGACAUCUAUCAAUAGUCGGUGCAUGUUUCAAAUUUGUAUUUAGAUCUGCAGCCAAACUCCAUGGCCAAGACAUGACAUGAUGUUUCUGCAAGCUGCCUUCAAGGACAGUUCUCAAACGUUACUAACAUUAUUGGCCAUUUUUCUGUCAUAUUGUUGCACUGAUUGUUCAUCAUUUACAAUUAGCUUUUUUAAUUUGAAACUGACUGUCCUUGAAACAUCCAACACUGCUGCAUGGCCUGUACAAUAUACGGCAAAAACCCAUUACAUAUUUAUUUAAAGACAUGUUAACAAAUUCAGCAAGUAUGUUGACAAAGCUUCACGGAGUAUAACAGUAUGUUCAUGUGAUAGCUCCUCAGGUAUUUAAAAGUUGAUCAGAGGUGAAAUGAAACAAUGUGACUGAUAAAAAUCACUCUAAAAAAGAAUAAAUUGCAUGAAGCCUCUCAGUAGAUGAAGCUGUUUUCCCUGUCACUUCUUGGCCGGUGAUGACACUGUUGCAGUCUGGGAAUGUAACGAACUUCAUUCUGCUGAAUUUUAAUGACAAGUUUAAUUCAGUGUGAAUUUCAAUAUAUAUAUAUAUAUAUUCUUUUUCUUUCCAUAUUCUGGAAUUUUUCAUACAUGAAAACUGGAUGUGAAUAAGAAUUUUAAAAAUUUUUCUAACUAGUUGCUCAUGAAAAAAUGUUUGUCUGGAAUGUUUGUUUGGAAUGUUAAAAAGAAUAUAAACACUGGUGUGAAUUAAUGUAGGAAAAUAAUAGGCAAAAUGACAGCUUACUUGAAUUGUAAAAUUGACAGUAUCAGUAGUAGUCGUAGGCUGUGAAUGUAAAUGACAAACACACAAAGAAAACAUUUUUUUGCCUCAGAAGUCGCUCUUGUGUCUACAAGCUGUAUGUAAAGUAAUUUGCUGUCCUGAGUGAGCAAAUGUAAGUCAGAAUGUGCAAGUUUGUUGUUCUAAAUUAAUACUCAGGUUGUUUCACAUAUUAACUAAAACAUUUUUUUUUUUUGACUGGUGUAUGUCCAAAAAAAGAAUCUAUCUUCACCAUUGCAAGAAUCAUUUGAAGAAUAUACAUUUCAAUUAGUUUACAAAGUACCAUUUAAACAUGUAUUUCCAAUUGGAGAAAAACUAUUUGAGUGUAUUGUAAGUAGCCCGUAAUGAAAUAAAACAUCUAUAGCUGUGUGAUUGGUAGAACAUUGUUAUCAAUGAGCACAAAAGAAAAUGCAUUCCUUUAUUAUAAUGAAACCAGGAACAUUUGUUAAUGAGCAUUUCACUUUGAGAAGCUUUUGUUAACAGUUGUGCAGCAACAGAAGCAAGACUGUGACCCUAGUGGCUACACAGAUCUUCACCUUUCCUCCAUUGGCCCUACACUUUGUUCUAAUGUACACUGGCUACACAUAACUCUGUAAUGUGUGAAAUGUACAGAUUGUAAAUAAACCUGAAAUAAAGGCACGGCUCAUAGGUUUUUCAACCAUCAUACAAUCGCUUGUAUUUUACUGUUCACUUUUACACUAAGGAAACAGGUUUUGUGCUAGUCAAAAUGUGUCAAGUUUGUGACUGAGUGUAUAUUAUGCAUUUAUUUGCGGUAUUGUUGGGAUCAAGCAGUAUGAUGUAUAAAUACGUGUUAAACACUAACCAAAGAUGUAACCAAUUUGUAAUUUUGGUUGUUUCAUUUCAAAGAAUGCAAUUUGUAUUUGUGUAUUAUUAAAUUGUAUGUUCCUGUUAAGUGAAAUCAAUAUGUUGAUCUUUAAAAAAUGUGUAUAUAUAUUAAUUUGCUAUUAUAUGGCACUGUCAGUGUUUGCAGAGGCAUGAAUUUAAUACAUAGCAUUCACAUGUGUGCA